CAGAUACUUACAAAAUGUUUAACAAAUAAAUCUCUGUUUAUUACACAAAACUAUCACAGUAUAAAAUUCUCCAAACUCGCUCAUGCACAUCCUGGACACAAAAUGAUGCGCUUAAUACAUUCGCUUCUACGUUAUUUAAAGUCAUGCGCAUUGAACGCAGAAUGAUGCGCUUAAUGCACCCGCUUCACUCACGCGCAUCCCGGAUUGAGAUGAUCCUGUUGUCGCGGGGAUCUUUGCUUCCCAAGUUCAAAACAGUUAUAACACAAAGAGAAGAGAUAUGUUAUGUCUUUAAAUCAUAGAACAUUGAAUCCAUCCUAAAGUUAAAAGUUAUGUAUGAAUGACGCAUAACAUAGACCGCUUCCAGUGCUUGAAUCUAAUAACGUUACACUCAGAGAGUACAGUCUCCGGCAAAAUGCAUUUUAAACAAAACCAAAGUCUAUUAUCUAGUGAUUAUGAAGUAUAUUGAAAACUUUGGAACGAGUAACGUCCUGACUGUUCCCGGACACGCGCAUGCUGGAUUGAGAUUGACAGAUGACCGCACCAGCGGAGAAUCUUGAGAAUCAUAUCCGAAGACAAGAGAAGCCGUGUCAGCCGAGGCAAACCAAGUGACGGCUUUGUCGGAAUGGGAGAACAGCAGGAAGGAAAAAUUGUUUUUUACCAACCUCAAGUGCACAAAUUGCGGAUGGGAAGAUCUCGAUCUAUCAGUGUGAUUUAUCCAAGUUCUCCAGUGCAAUUACAUGGAAGUUUGGAGCAAUUUGGGAUAGAGGAGCACUGGUGGCUAUAAACCAAUGUGACAGGCAAAAGUCCACCAUUUGUGUUUACAGAAGAUGGUGUAAAACAUCUAUUUGAAGGUGCCUGUGACAUUGAUUUGCUUCAGUCUGCAGAUGGCUUUGAGGAAAGAAACAGAGCAUGGGGAAUAGAUUACUUGACCGAGA
Triplophysa dalaica is the source of this 935-nucleotide long non-coding RNA. RefSeq lists it as uncharacterized. The transcript is spliced from 6 exons. Lineage: Eukaryota; Metazoa; Chordata; Actinopteri; Cypriniformes; Nemacheilidae. The record is from RefSeq and is a predicted model, not a curated record.